AGAAUCAACGCUGGCGGCGUGCCUAACACAUGCAAGUCGAACGAGAAAGUGGAGCAAUCCAUGAGUAAAGUGGCGCACGGGUGAGUAACACGUGACUAACCUACCCUUGAGUGGGGGAUAACCUCGGGAAACCGGGGCUAAUACCGCAUAAUACCUACGGGUCAAAGGAGCAAUUCGCUUUAGGAGGGGGUCGCGGCAGAUUAGUUAGUUGGCGGGGUAAUGGCCCACCAAGACGGUGAUCUGUAU
RNAcentral lists this ribosomal RNA (246 nucleotides) under uncultured bacterium. RNAcentral's name for it is "partial small subunit ribosomal RNA". It matches the Rfam family "Bacterial small subunit ribosomal RNA", at positions 26 to 286 of the family's 1533-position model. The record is from RNAcentral.